This 246-nucleotide long non-coding RNA is filed under the name Lathyrus oleraceus (garden pea). Its description in RNAcentral is "Pisum sativum (pea) long non-coding RNA (PSAT_LNC018954)". The record is from RNAcentral. Lineage: Eukaryota; Viridiplantae; Streptophyta; Magnoliopsida; Fabales; Fabaceae.
ACACUCGCUCACAAGGCGAGCCGUUUUACUUACGAAUCAACGACAUCGAACUAUAUCUCCGAGUCUUACGACGAAUUCGGGAAUAUCGUGCUGCAAACAAUCUCCCUCCUAUCGAAAUUCCUGAUCUCAAAAAUCUUCUUCCUUCACCGAUACCCGAGAUGGCAGAACCAGCUCGUGCUCUUCGAGAUUACGCCGCUCCAUCGCAAGAUGAGCCACAUUCGAGUAUUGCUCCACCCGCAAUCGAAG